Molecule: ribosomal RNA, 573 nt
Filed under: Torulaspora sp.
Lineage: Eukaryota; Fungi; Ascomycota; Saccharomycetes; Saccharomycetales; Saccharomycetaceae
Description: partial large subunit ribosomal RNA
Rfam family: Eukaryotic large subunit ribosomal RNA
Source: RNAcentral
AAACCAACCGGGAUUGCCUCAGUAACGGCGAGUGAAGCGGCAAAAGCUCAAAUUUGAAAUCUGGUACCUUCGGUGCCCGAGUUGUAAUUUGUAGAAGGUAACUUUGGGGCUGGUCCUUGUCUAUGUUCCUUGGAACAGGACGUCAUAGAGGGUGAGAAUCCCGUGUGGCGAGGAUCCCAGUUCUAUGUAAAGUGCUUUCGAAGAGUCGAGUUGUUUGGGAAUGCAGCUCUAAGUGGGUGGUAAAUUCCAUCUAAAGCUAAAUAUUGGCGAGAGACCGAUAGCGAACAAGUACAGUGAUGGAAAGAUGAAAAGAACUUUGAAAAGAGAGUGAAAAAGUACGUGAAAUUGUUGAAAGGGAAGGGCAUUUGAUCAGACAUGGUGUUUUGCGCCCUCUGCUCCUUGUGGGUGGGGGAAUCUCGCAGCUCACUGGGCCAGCAUCAGUUUUGGCGGCAGGAUAAAUCUUUAGGAAUGUAGCUUGCCUCGGUAAGUGUUAUAGCCUGUUGAAAUACUGCCAGCUGGGACUGAGGACUGCGACUUUUAGUCAAGGAUGCUGGCAUAAUGGUUAUAUGCCGC